ACGGCCGUACCAUGCUGAAUAUACCGGUUCUCGUUAGAUCACCGAAGUUAAGCAUCAUUGGGCGCGGUCAGUGGGUGACCACCUGGGAACACCGCGUGCCGUU
Molecule: non-coding RNA, 103 nt
Organism: Caerostris darwini
Lineage: Eukaryota; Metazoa; Arthropoda; Arachnida; Araneae; Araneidae
Source: the annotation of a GenBank genome assembly